Molecule: ribosomal RNA, 89 nt
Filed under: Mucilaginibacter cryoferens
Lineage: Bacteria; Pseudomonadati; Bacteroidota; Sphingobacteriia; Sphingobacteriales; Sphingobacteriaceae
Source: RNAcentral
CUACCUCUUCCCAUUCCGAACAGAGAAGUCAAGCCCGCCAGAGCCGAUGGUACUGCGGUAAAACGUGGGAGAGUAGGUCGGUGCCCAAU